AUAAAAGGAACUCACUCCUCCAUUGGUGGAGGGUCCUAUGUCAGUGGCAAGAUUAUUAUGCUUAAUGAUGUACAACAUAAAAAUCCUUUUUUACGAUAUGCAAAAGCAUUUUGAUAAUUUGCUUUAAAUAAUAAACAAGAGGAGAAUUCUCCUCGCAGUCCGUGAGAGUCAUCACCGAAUGCAGGCAGGCAGCCAUAAAAAGUUUGAGCGUGCCGUAAAAAACACUUAAAGGAGCUGAAUCAGAGGUGGUAGGAAAAGGAGGAAAGCCCCUAAUGGGUUGCUUAAGAACACGUUGCCACUUUGCCAGGGAGAGGAGAAAAAUCAUUUUCAUGUAAAUUGACACGUUUCAUUAUGAAGAUGGAUCUGCAAAGUACAAGUAGUGGUGGCGUAUCUGCUGGUACAGGGAGCUGGGUCCCACGUUGGGCGCCAUUUACUAAGAGGGCUAAGAUGAUGAGCUGCAGCACCAGGAGCUGAAUGUGGUUGUCAUUGCCAGGGUAACAACUAACCGAAGGGAGAAAAUCUGAGAAGUGGAGAGCCACGUAUCAUCGUGGCACACAUUGUGGUCGGACUUGCCGGUUGCGAAACAUGAUAUGAUAUGCGGUAAAUAAACAGCCAGACACCAAGCUCACAUUGUUCUUGUUUUCAUUUUUUUUUUGUGGUGUGGUGUAAGGAGUGGAGAUUUGCGGGUUUGAGGUAGCAACAAUUGGCCGGUAAUCCCUUUUGAUUUCGAAACAGGAAGCAGCCCAGCGUGACAAGUUUUAAGUUUCCACAUAAUUAAGCGGUUCGAUUUGUGUGUGCUUUAAAAAGGUGAUGAAAAGGGUGAGCAAUAUUGGUAAUAAACACCCCUGUAUAUUUAUAAUCUUUAAUUCUUUUUGUUUGCAUAUUUUUUUAUGUUUAUAUUUUAUAGCCUCAUAAAAAUGGGAAAGGUAAUAAUCCAAAUGUAUUAUUGAAAAUUAUUUCGUACAGCUAUAGCACAUAUGCACUUUCUGAACACCUCUAAGUUGUUAAUAAAAUUUUACGGUUUCAUCAGGAGAACAUUAAAAUUUGUACAAAAGAAAGUACCCCGUUUUUAUAUGGCAAUUUUAUGCUUAACCAAAGGCAUACAGUAUUUCAGUAUUUCAGCACGAAUUCUCAAAGCUCUCAAAGUUACGAUCUGUUAACCAGCCGACUUUCCUUCGCGGAUCGAGAAACCUAUCCUAUCAUUAGCAUUUUAACCAGCUCGUUCAGCCAGACCGCCCCCCAAUCCAGAUGACCGGCAAUUGUGGUGAAGCAUUCUCGAUGCUUUCACCCAGGUCUUAACCCCCUGCUGGUGCCAGGGGCUCUGAAGUGGACACUCUAACCGAGUCGACUGUAAUUUUGUACACAUGCUGAUAUCGCUGAACCAAAUCACUUAUUCAGGCGGUGGAGAAAAAUAAAACAGUUUUGCCGGCGGGGACGGUGCUGGCUCCCCAGUCACCGCCAACUCAAUUAAGCCGGAGAUAAAAAAUCAAAUGGACCACUAUGCUGGCUGCAGACCUCAACACUCUCAUUUGCAGUUGAAUGUAAAAUGUGAAAUGGGAGCGGAGAAUUGAAUGCAGCAUGUGGUUGUGAACCUGGUGGCCACUCAUCGUCACCAAGCAUGUCAAGUGUUUUUAGCCGCAGCCCCUCCUCGUGUGUUUCGUAUUCGUAUUCUCCCCAUCCCGCCGUCAACAUAAAAAUCCAAUUUUCGUAAUUAAAAAAAAUAUAAGCCAUGCAAUACAGCUGCCUUGGGGGCAUUCGCAGGGCCAGAGUCCGAGUCUCAUCUCAUUAGAGCACUUCCCGUAGUGGCUGCAGGCUGCCUCAUCAUGGCCCUUCCCCGCCCAUUUAACGGUGGCAUAAACUCUUGAGACCAACCAAAUUCACUACAUUGCAAAAACACUUAUCAACUUAAUUCGUUUCUUAAAUAAUUAAUGAAUUAAUUCCUUAAAAAAAUGCUGUAUCUUAUGAUUGAAAAUGUGUAAAGAAAACUGUAGCCAACACUUAUUACACUCUA
Long non-coding RNA from Drosophila yakuba, 2011 nucleotides. RefSeq lists it as uncharacterized. The record is from RefSeq and is a predicted model, not a curated record. The transcript is spliced from 2 exons. Lineage: Eukaryota; Metazoa; Arthropoda; Insecta; Diptera; Drosophilidae.